UUUUUAUAAGGAUAACUACGGAAAAGCUGUAGCUAAUACUUGAACGAUUGUAUGGUAAAUAUCUUCGGACAUUCUUACUUAUACAUGUAUUUGUUAAUCCUAAGAAAAAAAAGUUAUUAAGUGAUGAAUUAAAACAAAGAAGCAACACAUAAUAAAUUUAUAUUAUUAUUGUGUAUCAAUCGAGUUUCUGACCUAUCAGCUUUUGAUGUUAAGGUAUUGGCCUAACAUGGCUAUGACGGGUA
This 242-nucleotide ribosomal RNA is filed under the name Plasmodium relictum. Its description in RNAcentral is "partial 18S small subunit ribosomal RNA". It matches the Rfam family "Eukaryotic small subunit ribosomal RNA", at positions 132 to 361 of the family's 1831-position model. The record is from RNAcentral. Lineage: Eukaryota; Apicomplexa; Aconoidasida; Haemosporida; Plasmodiidae.